CGUGAAGCUGGAUUCGCUAGUAAUCGCGCAUCAGCCAUGGCGCGGUGAAUACGUUCCCGGGCCUUGUACACACCGCCCGUCAAGCCAUGGGAGCCGGGGGUGCUUGAAGUGCGUCGCCGCAAGGCGCGCCCUAGAGCAAAACCGGUGACUGGGGCUAAGUCGUAACAAGGUAGC
Molecule: ribosomal RNA, 174 nt
Filed under: uncultured bacterium
Lineage: Bacteria
Description: partial 16S ribosomal RNA
Rfam family: Bacterial small subunit ribosomal RNA
Source: RNAcentral